Molecule: ribosomal RNA, 443 nt
Filed under: uncultured bacterium
Lineage: Bacteria
Description: partial 16S ribosomal RNA
Rfam family: Bacterial small subunit ribosomal RNA
Source: RNAcentral
CCUACGGGAGGCAGCAGUGGGGAAUAUUGGGCAAUGGAGGCAACUCUGACCCAGCAACGCCGCGUGAAUGAUGAAGGUCUUCGGAUUGUAAAGUUCUGUGAUGGGGGAUGAACACAAUGACGGUACCCCAAUAGCAAGCCACGGCUAACUACGUGCCAGCAGCCGCGGUAAUACGUAGGUGGCAAGCGUUAUCCGGAAUGACUGGGUGUAAAGGGUGCGUAGGUGGUUUAGUAAGUUGGCGGUGUAAUUCCGGGGCUCAACCGCGGAGUUACCGCCAAAACUAGUAGACUAGAGUGCAGGAGAGGUAGGUGGAAUUCGUGGUGUAGCGGUGGAAUGCGUAGAUAUUAGGAAGAACUCCGGGGGCGAAGGCAACUUACUGGACUGUAACUGACACUGAGGCACGAAAGUGUGGGGAGCAAACAGGAUUAGAUACCCCGGUAGUC